This 914-nucleotide ribosomal RNA is filed under the name uncultured archaeon. Its description in RNAcentral is "bacterial SSU rRNA". It matches the Rfam family "Archaeal small subunit ribosomal RNA", at positions 1 to 922 of the family's 1478-position model. The record is from RNAcentral.
UUCCGGUUGAUCCCGCCGGAGGUCAUUGCUAUCGGGGUCCGAUUUAGCCAUGCUAGUUGUACGAUUACGUAGCGAAAAGCUCCGUAACACGUGGCCAAACUACCCUCUGGAGGACGAUACUCUCGGGAAACUGAGGCUAAUCGUCCAUACACCACUCGCGUUGGAAUACUGAGUGGGGGAAACGCUCCGGCGCCAGAGGAUGUGGCUGCGGCUGAUUAGGUAGACGGUGGGGUAACGGCCCACCGUGCCGAUAAUCAGUGCGGGUUGUGAGAGCAAGAGCCCGGAGACGGAAUCUGAGACAAGAUUCCGGGCCCUACGGGGCGCAGCAGGCGCGAAACCUUUACACUGCACGCCAGUGCGAUAAGGGGACCCCGAGUGCGAGGGCAUACUAGCCCUCGCUUUUCUGUACCGUAGGGAGGUACAGGAACAAGAGCUGGGCAAGACCGGUGCCAGCCGCCGCGGUAAUACCGGCAGCUCGAGUGAUGACCGAUAUUAUUGGGCCUAAAGCGUCCGUAGCUGGCCGGGCAAGUCCGUCGGGAAAUCCAACGGCUCAACCGUUGGGCGUCCGGCGGAAACUGCCCGGCUUGGGACCGGAAGGCUCUGAGGGUACGUCCGGGGUAGGAGUGAAAUCCUGUAAUCCUGGACGGACCACCGAUGGCGAAAGCACUCAGAGAGGACGGAUCCGACAGUGAGGGACGAAAGCUGGGGUCUCGAACCGGAUUAGAUACCCGGGUAGUCCCAGCCGUAAACGAUGCCAGUUAGGUGUGGCAGAGGCUACGAGCCUCUGCUGUGCCGUAGGGAAGCCGAGAAACUGGCCGCCUGGGAAGUACGUCCGCAAGGAUGAAACUUAAAGGAAUUGGCGGGGGAGCACUACAACCGGAGGAGCCUGCGGUUUAAUUGGAUUCAACGCCGGG